CUGGUCGGGCAGCGGAGGUGAGGACAGCAUGAGUUUCUUACAAGACUAGAAAACUGGGGCUGUAGGGUGGAGGUCGGGUAUGAUGAGGGUUGGUGCUGGAGUCCAUGUCUCUGGUGGCUUUGGAAUGUCCCACCCCACUCUGAGCAGCUUCUCUCUGCUCUCUCGCCCCUUCUCCAGGUUUGGAGUGUUUAAAAGACAGUGUAGCUGCAACUUUAGGGGGAACAAACACACCUGGCAUUCUGUGGCAGGAGCCAGACUAGCACCUGGUCCCCUAUGAGGCCUUGGCUUUGCCCUAUAGUGGAGCCUUGGGGUGUCCACUCUCCUUUAUUCUAUUUCCACACUUUGGGGAAGACAAUGUGAUGUCAGAGACUGUCCCUGUCUAUAAAGAGACAGUAACAGUACCAACACCUCAGGGUUGUUGGAAGUUUCAAGGAGAUUCCAUUCAACACACCAGAUGGACAGAAGGUGGGUACUCAACCCUGCUCACGUUUCUUCCUUCCUUCCUUUUUCCUCAUCUCUGUCAUCAUGGGAUGACAUUUGGAACUUAGAGAUUUCUGUUCUAGGCUGGAGUCUGUAGCAGGGUCAGUUCUGGGUCCCAGGUGGAGCCAGCUGUUUCUGUUCUCACUGCUGGUGUGUCCUGCAUUGGCUGGGGCCAUGUUUGUUCCCACUACCCAUGUGAACUUCUGGAACAAGGUCAUUUUGUUCAGUCUGGCAACAAAAAACCUCCACAGGGCACCUGGCAUAUUGUAGGUGCUCAGUGUCCAGAGAACAAAUGCAGAUCUCUCAUUCCAUAGUCAAAAGCCCAACCUCUGGAGUCCAGCAGACCUCUGAUCAAUCUGGCUUCAUUGUUCACUAGCGUUGUAUGACCUUAAACAGGAUGGUUAAUCUUCCUGAGCCUCAAUUUCUUUGUCUAAAAAUAGGCACAAUAAUAACUACCUCCUUAGGUUGUUGUGAGGAUUAGCAAUGACAUCAUAGGGAAGCCUAGCUCGAAACUGCCCGCGCGUAGUAGGAGCUCAAUAAAUGCAAGGGAUGAUUAGCUGUGGUGACAGGAAUGUUUACAUGUGUGCCUAAAGCAAAACCUAACUCUGAGGACUCUUAGGUUUUUAAUAAGUGAUAUGUGGCCUCUCUCGGUGCCCUAGGACCUACACCCCAAAUGCUGUUCUAUGGGAUGGGACAUGCCGCUGUGACACUAACAGGUGGAGUUACCUAACAGCCUGGACAUUCAGUGACACUCACCUGCCAUGGUGUCCUCUCUAGGUGGGAGGUGGCGUGUCAAUGCCCCUCAAGUCCUCAGACAGGAGGGAGUCUGAACACAGAAUGAAGAAGGAGCAUAUGCACCAUUUUACAGCAGUCCCGCUCAUCCAUGGUCUCAGUUGCCCAAGCAGGAAACCCAACUACGCCGAGGGAGCCUGACCACUGCUCAGAGGAGCCAACCAGCUCAGGUACUCAAAACCCAGCUUUGCCAUUUAGAAAACAGUCAGGAAAAAGGCUACAAAGAGAAUUUAUUAGCCAUCUCACACUCUCUUCCCUCUCGAAGUUUCAGUUGUCUUUAUUUUUUGGUGCCAACUGUUGGUUGCUGUGUUCGGGUGUCUGACUCACCCAGGAAAAGGGCUGGCUUUCCAGCCCUCCUGUGCUGGAAGCACUGCAAGUAGCAGCCUCCCCGUCACAGACUCUCCAUCCUGCCUGGCUGACCUCUGUCGUCAGCCUGGGACCACCAACAAACAG
Molecule: long non-coding RNA, 1725 nt
Organism: Marmota monax (woodchuck)
Lineage: Eukaryota; Metazoa; Chordata; Mammalia; Rodentia; Sciuridae
Exons: 3
Source: RefSeq, a predicted model, not a curated record